GUUUGUGUAGCUUAACGCAAAGCAAAGCACUGAAAAUGCUUAGAUUUUCUAAGAUUUUCUAAACAUACACA
RNAcentral lists this transfer RNA (71 nucleotides) under Sarcophilus harrisii (Tasmanian devil). It matches the Rfam family "tRNA". From Rfam's summary of the family: Transfer RNA (tRNA) molecules are approximately 80 nucleotides in length. The record is from Rfam by way of RNAcentral. Lineage: Eukaryota; Metazoa; Chordata; Mammalia; Dasyuromorphia; Dasyuridae.